Molecule: ribosomal RNA, 511 nt
Filed under: uncultured bacterium
Lineage: Bacteria
Description: bacterial SSU rRNA
Rfam family: Bacterial small subunit ribosomal RNA
Source: RNAcentral
GACGAACGCUGGCGGCGUGGAUUAGGCAUGCAAGUCGAACGGUAUCAUCCUUUCGGGGGUGAGAGAGUGGCGAACUGGUGAGUAACACGUAGGUUAUCUACCCUCAAGACGGGGACAACCCAGGGAAACUUGGGCUAAUACCGGAUGUGAGCAACUUUUAGUUGUUUGAAAGGUGGCGUAAGCUGUCGCUUGGGGAUGAGCCUGCGUCCUAUUAGUUAGUUGGUGAGGUAACGGCUCACCUAGGCAAUGAUAGGUAGGCGGCCUUAACGGGUGGUCGCCCACACUGGGAUUGAGAUACGGCCCAGACUCCUACGGGAGGCAGCAGUCGAGAAUAGUCUACAAUGGUCGGAAGACUGAUAGUGCGACGCCGCGUGAACGAUGAAUCCCUUCGGGGUGUAAAGUUCUUUUAUAUGUGAGCAGUGCUUCUUAUAUUAACGGUAUGGGGAGAGAGAUAUUAGCAUAUGAAUAAGCAACGGCUAACUCCGUGCCAGCAGCCGCGGUAAACUCGUCU